Molecule: ribosomal RNA, 253 nt
Filed under: uncultured bacterium
Lineage: Bacteria
Description: partial 16S ribosomal RNA
Rfam family: Bacterial small subunit ribosomal RNA
Source: RNAcentral
CACGUAGGGCGCGAGCGUUGUCCGGAAUUAUUGGGCGUAAAGAGCUCGUAGGCGGCCUGUUGCGUCCGCUGUGAAAGCCCGGGGCUUAACCCCGGGUCGGCAGUGGAUACGGGCAGGCUAGAGGUAGGUAGGGGAGAAUGGAAUUCCCGGUGUAGCGGUGAAAUGCGCAGAUAUCGGGAGGAAUACCGGUGGCGAAGGCGGCAUCCUGGACCGACAUUGACGCUGAGGAGCGAAAGCCAGGGGAGCAAACGGG